This 1372-nucleotide ribosomal RNA is filed under the name uncultured bacterium. Its description in RNAcentral is "bacterial SSU rRNA". It matches the Rfam family "Bacterial small subunit ribosomal RNA", at positions 28 to 1381 of the family's 1533-position model. The record is from RNAcentral.
GAUGAACGCUGGCGGCGUGCCUAAUACAUGCAAGUCGAGCGAACGGACGAGAAGCUUGCUUCUCUGAUGUUAGCGGCGGACGGGUGAGUAACACGUGGAUAACCUACCUAUAAGACUGGGAUAACUUCGGGAAACCGGAGCUAAUACCGGAUAAUAUUUUGAACCGCAUGGUUCAAAAGUGAAAGACGGUCUUGCUGUCACUUAUAGAUGGAUCCGCGCUGCAUUAGCUAGUUGGUAAGGUAACGGCUUACCAAGGCAACGAUGCAUAGCCGACCUGAGAGGGUGAUCGGCCACACUGGAACUGAGACACGGUCCAGACUCCUACGGGAGGCAGCAGUAGGGAAUCUUCCGCAAUGGGCGAAAGCCUGACGGAGCAACGCCGCGUGAGUGAUGAAGGUCUUCGGAUCGUAAAACUCUGUUAUUAGGGAAGAACAUAUGUGUAAGUAACUGUGCACAUCUUGACGGUACCUAAUCAGAAAGCCACGGCUAACUACGUGCCAGCAGCCGCGGUAAUACGUAGGUGGCAAGCGUUAUCCGGAAUUAUUGGGCGUAAAGCGCGCGUAGGCGGUUUUUUAAGUCUGAUGUGAAAGCCCACGGCUCAACCGUGGAGGGUCAUUGGAAACUGGAAAACUUGAGUGCAGAAGAGGAAAGUGGAAUUCCAUGUGUAGCGGUGAAAUGCGCAGAGAUAUGGAGGAACACCAGUGGCGAAGGCGACUUUCUGGUCUGUAACUGACGCUGAUGUGCGAAAGCGUGGGGAUCAAACAGGAUUAGAUACCCUGGUAGUCCACGCCGUAAACGAUGAGUGCUAAGUGUUAGGGGGUUUCCGCCCCUUAGUGCUGCAGCUAACGCAUUAAGCACUCCGCCUGGGGAGUACGACCGCAAGGUUGAAACUCAAAGGAAUUGACGGGGACCCGCACAAGCAGUGGAGCAUGUGGUUUAAUUCGAAGCAACGCGAAGAACCUUACCAAAUCUUGACAUCCUUUGACAACUCUAGAGAUAGAGCUUUCCCCUUCGGGGGACAAAGUGACAGGUGGUGCAUGGUUGUCGUCAGCUCGUGUCGUGAGAUGUUGGGUUAAGUCCCGCAACGAGCGCAACCCUUAAGCUUAGUUGCCAUCAUUAAGUUGGGCACUCUAAGUUGACUGCCGGUGACAAACCGGAGGAAGGUGGGGAUGACGUCAAAUCAUCAUGCCCCUUAUGAUUUGGGCUACACACGUGCUACAAUGGACAAUACAAAGGGCAGCGAAACCGCGAGGUCAAGCAAAUCCCAUAAAGUUGUUCUCAGUUCGGAUUGUAGUCUGCAACUCGACUACAUGAAGCUGGAAUCGCUAGUAAUCGUAGAUCAGCAUGCUACGGUGAAUACGUUCCCGGGUCU